GAUCCUGGCUUAGGAUGAACGCUGGCGGCGUGCCUAAUACAUGCAAGUCGAACGAGGUAGCAAUACCGAGUGGCGAACGGGUGAGUAACACGUAGGUAACCUGCCCUUAAGCUUGGGAUACCCAGAGGAAACUUGGCUAAUACCGGAUAACAACAGAGAAGGCAUCUUCUUUGCUUGAAAGGCCCCUUCAAGGGUCACUUAAGGAUGGACCUGCGGCGCAUUAGCUAGUUGGUGAGAUAACAGCCCACCAAGGCGAGGAUGCGUAGCCGAACUGAGAGGUUGAUCGGCCACAUUGGAACUGAGACACGGUCCAAACUCCUACGGGAGGCAGCAGUAAGGAGUUUUCGGCAAUGGGGGAAACCCUGACCGAGCAACGCCGCGUGAGCGAUGACGGCCCUAUGGGUUUGUAAAGCUCUGUUGUAAGCCAUGAAUGAUAGCUUGAGGAAAUGCAAGCUAUUUGACGACAGCUUACCAGAAAGCCACGGCUAACUACGUGCCAGCCGCCGC
This 507-nucleotide ribosomal RNA is filed under the name uncultured bacterium. RNAcentral's name for it is "bacterial SSU rRNA". It matches the Rfam family "Bacterial small subunit ribosomal RNA", at positions 15 to 518 of the family's 1533-position model. The record is from RNAcentral.